RNAcentral lists this ribosomal RNA (292 nucleotides) under uncultured bacterium. Its description in RNAcentral is "partial 16S ribosomal RNA". The record is from RNAcentral.
GGACUACCAGGGUAUCUAAUCCUGUUUGAUCCCCACGCUUUCGUGUAUGAGUGUCAGUAUUGGACCAGGUCGCCGCCUUCGCCACCGGUGUUCCUCCAGAUAUCUACGUAUUUCACCACUACACCUGGAAUUCCACGACCCUCUUCCAUACUCAAGUCUGACAGUUUUAAAUGCACGUCUUGGGUUGAGCCCAAGGAUUUCACAUCUAACUUUUCAGACAACCUGCACACGCUUUACGCCCAAUAAUUCCGAACAACGCUAGGACCCCCCGUCUUACCGCGGCUGCUGGCAC